This 319-nucleotide ribosomal RNA is filed under the name uncultured bacterium. Its description in RNAcentral is "bacterial SSU rRNA". It matches the Rfam family "Bacterial small subunit ribosomal RNA", at positions 470 to 789 of the family's 1533-position model. The record is from RNAcentral.
UGCUAGUGUACGUAGAAUAAGGAUCGGCUAACUCCGUGCCAGCAGCCGCGGUAAUACGGAGGAUCCGAGCGUUAUCCGGAUUUAUUGGGUUUAAAGGGUGCGCAGGCGGCUUUUUAAGUCAGUGGUAAAAUCGUGAGGCUCAACCUCAUCCCGCCAUUGAUACUGGAGAGCUUGAUUACGGUUGAGGUUGGCGGAAUUCGCCGUGUAGCGGUGAAAUGCAUAGAUAUGGCGAAGAACUCCGAUUGCGUAGGCAGCUGACCAAGCCGAAAAUGACGCUCAUGCACGAAAGUGCGGGGAUCGAACAGGAUUAGAUACCCUG